RNAcentral lists this ribosomal RNA (253 nucleotides) under uncultured bacterium. Its description in RNAcentral is "partial 16S ribosomal RNA". It matches the Rfam family "Bacterial small subunit ribosomal RNA", at positions 524 to 776 of the family's 1533-position model. The record is from RNAcentral.
GACGAACCGAGCGAACGUUAUUCGGAUUCACUGGGCUUAAAGGGUGCGUAGGCGGUCUGUCAAGUCUGGGGUGAAAUCCCACGGCUCAACCGUGGAACUGCCUUAGAUACUGAUGGCCUCGAGGAAGGUAGGGGCAUGCGGAACUGUAGGUGGAGCGGUGAAAUGCGUUGAUAUCGACAGGAACUCCGGUGGCGAAAGCGGCGUGCUGGACCUUUUCUGACGCUGAGGCACGAAAGCUAGGGGAGCAAACGGG